This is a long non-coding RNA of Prinia subflava (tawny-flanked prinia), 910 nucleotides long. RefSeq lists it as uncharacterized. The record is from RefSeq and is a predicted model, not a curated record. The transcript has 3 exons. NCBI's taxonomy places the organism in Eukaryota, Metazoa, Chordata, Aves, Passeriformes, Cisticolidae.
CUCCGGGUGGAGGAAUGAGCAGAUAGCCCCAGCACCAAUGCAUCCAGCAAAUAUCAAAGCAGAGAGAGAUGGGAGCAAAAAUGAAGGCAGGGAGAGGUGAAGUGAUGGACCCAAGGUCAAAGCAGAGCAGUUUGCCAGAGCUGGAAACACACCUCUCCUGAGUCCACCCCUGGAGCUCUGCUGAUACCCCCAGCAACGCUGCCAUUAACUCUUGUGAAGAGACAGGAAGAGGUGCAGGACGUCAGAGAGAGGAGACUGAAUGCAAGAGGCAGGAACAACCAAUUCCAGAGAUGGAACAGAACAAAAAUUGGUCAGGGGCUCAGAAAGAAUUGUAUUGUCUUCUGGCUGGCAGUCUGACGGCCACAGAUUUCUCUAUAGCUCUGUGUCUAAUAAAUAGGUGGAAUGGCCUUUGAACAGGCUGGAUGCCUCUCCUAAGCUCUUCAUUAAAAGCUUUAAAUUUCAAGACACCACUCUUCUCUAGUUUCCAAGGGGUCAGGAAACCUAUUUUCAGUGACUGCUACCCAUGGGAUAAAUAAUGCCAGGUCCUGGCAAAAACAGAAAGGACGAAGAGAAAGAAACAGCUGCUCAGUCUGAUGCUCAGAGGCUACAACAGGAUGGACUUUAAAAUGAAUGUAACCUGCCAUGUGCUAAAAUGUCCAAAUAGGCUUUGGGUUCAGUUCCAGACCUUCAAAAGGAAUGUUUUCAAUCAUGUCGUCACAGGGGUUUGAAACUUCCUAUUAGCCUACUCCCAAAGUGAUUUUUCUGUUCUCACCUUCUGGAGAGGCUUGUCCCUUGUUGAACAUCCUCUCUUCUGGAACUAUCCCCACCAUCUGGACAGUUUGUCACAGCUAUUUUCAUUUGGUUUUCAUGUCAUUUCUCACUGUACUACAUUGCAAAUGGAUUAAACUAA